CUUGAAGAUGCAGGUCAUGCAGAGCUUUGCUGAAUGAAAACACGUCAGUACGACAGGAGCAUGUUGUUGAAAUGAUUUCAAUAUAUAUGAUUGACAUAUAUCCAUAGGACAUGCAGUUAGCCUAGACAAUUCUCUGUGAAGUUCAAGGACUUUCUUAGUCAAAUAUGGGAAGAUGUGAAAGGAUACAUAGAAAUCUUGGAGGACAAAUUGACGAGAGUCUUAAAAGACACAGAUAUGAAGAUAAACAAGAGGAAAAGAAUGCCAAACAUAGUUCAUUUUGUAGUUUAAAGGACUGCAGACUUUCUGAUAUCUUUCAAACUGUUGUGUUUUUUGGUAUAAAUGUAAUAAUGCAUUAUCAUCUUAUUUGUAUAGGCAUAAUUUGUAUAAUUUGGAGUUUAGUAUGACGUCCAUUAUCACUGAACUAGUAUACAUAUUUGUUUAGGGGCCAGCUGAAGGACGCCUGCAGGUGCGGGAGUUUCUCGCUGCAUUGAAGACCCAUUGGUGGCCUUCGGCUGUUGUCUGCUCUAUGGUGGAGUUGUUGUCUCUUUGACACAUUCCCCAUUUCCAUUCUCUAUUUUAUACAUCCUGAAAAUCUUGUUGGUACCUUUUAU
This is a long non-coding RNA of Mytilus californianus (California mussel), 611 nucleotides long. RefSeq lists it as uncharacterized. The record is from RefSeq and is a predicted model, not a curated record. The transcript is spliced from 3 exons. Lineage: Eukaryota; Metazoa; Mollusca; Bivalvia; Mytilida; Mytilidae.